CCCGGAUGCUUGUUUGAACCCCAUGGUUCAAACAUAAAAGGUGGCUUCGGCUACCACUUACAGAUGGACCCGCGGCGCAUUAGCUAGUUGGUGAGGUAAUGGCUCACCAAGGCAACGAUGCGUAGCCGACCUGAGAGGGUGAUCGGCCCCCACUGGGACUGAGACCCGGCCCAGACUCCUACGGGAGGCAGCAGUAGGGAAUCUUCCGCAAUGGACGAAAGUCUGACGGAGCAACGCCGCGUGAGUGAUGAAGGUUUUCGGAUCGUAAAGCUCUGUUGUUAGGGAAGACCAAGUACCGUUCGAAUAGGGCGGCACCUUGACGGUACCUAACCAGAAAGCCACGGCUAACUACGUGCCAGCAGCCGCGGUAAUACGUAGGUGGCAAGCGUUGUCCGGAAUUAUUGGGCGUAAAGGGCUCGCAGGCGGUUCCUUAAGUCUGAUGUGAAAGCCCCCGGCUCAACCGGGGAGGGUCAUUGGAAACUGGGGAACUUGAGUGCAGAAGAGGAGAGUGGAAUUCCACGUGUAGCGGUGAAAUGCGUAGAGAUGUGGAGGAACACCAGUGGCGAAGGCGACUCUCUGGUCUGUAACUGACGCUGAGGAGCGAAAGCGUGGGGAGCGAACAGGAUUAGAUACCCUGGUAGUCCACGCCGUAAACGAUGAGUGCUAAGUGUUAGGGGGUUUCCGCCCCUUAGUGCUGCAGCUAACGCAUUAAGCACUCCGCCUGGGGAGUACGGUCGCAAGACUGAAACUCAAAGGAAUUGACGGGGGCCCGCACAAGCGGUGGAGCAUGUGGUUUAAUUCGAAGCAACGCGAAGAACCUUACCAGGUCUUGACAUCCUCUGACAAUCCUAGAGAUAGGACGUCCCCUUCGGGGGCAGAGUGACAGGUGGUGCAUGGUUGUCGUCAGCUCGUGUCGUGAGAUGUUGGGUUAAGUCCCGCAACGAGCGCAACCCUUGAUCUUAGUUGCCAGCAUUCAGUUGGGCACUCUAAGGUGACUGCCGGUGACAAACCGGAGGAAGGUGGGGAUGACGUCAAAUCAUCAUGCCCCUUAUGACCUGGGCUACACACGUGCUACAAUGGACAGAACAAAGGGCAGCGAAACCGCGAGGUUAAGCCAAUCCCACAAAUCUGUUCUCAGUUCGGAUCGCAGUCUGCAACUCGACUGCGUGAAGCUGGAAUCGCUAGUAAUCGCGGAUCAGCAUGCCGCGGUGGAAUACGUUCCCGGGCCUUGUACACACCGCCCGUCACACCACGAGAGUUUGUAACACCCGAAGUCGGUGAGGUAACCUUUAUGGAGCCAGCCGCCGAAGGUGGGACAGAUGAUUGGGGUGA
Molecule: ribosomal RNA, 1332 nt
Filed under: Bacillus sp. (in: firmicutes)
Lineage: Bacteria; Bacillati; Bacillota; Bacilli; Caryophanales; Bacillaceae
Description: bacterial SSU rRNA
Rfam family: Bacterial small subunit ribosomal RNA
Source: RNAcentral